AGUAGAGCUCUCCCUCCCUUGAAUCCCAAUGUUAUAUAAUAUCUGCUACUCAAGGAGUGAUCGUUGUUGAAUGAAGGAAUGAAUCUUCACAGUCAAGUUCAAGUUCCAAUAACACGUCAAGCUUCUGCAGAAGGCUCCAUGUGUUCUACAGUUUUGACAUAAUGGGACUUCAUUUUCUGUCACAGAAAUAGAAUGUUCUACUGCAAAGACAUAGCAAGAAGGACCAAGUCUUGCUGUUUAGUUCCUCUUAAUGUUCUAGUUUAAAAUUGCUACUAGAUUACAGCGUGAACGUCUCAGUAAAGCUAUUGGCAGCUUGAUUGGAACAGUUUCUGUCCUCACUUAAUCCCUCCGGACAGAUCUGAUCUGUGAGGCACGGCACGGUGCCAUUGAAACAACUGGAGUCACCUGAUACAGCACAUUACCCGAGG
Molecule: long non-coding RNA, 428 nt
Filed under: Equus caballus (horse)
Lineage: Eukaryota; Metazoa; Chordata; Mammalia; Perissodactyla; Equidae
Description: lncRNA (ENSECAG00000048133.1)
Source: RNAcentral